This 681-nucleotide small RNA is filed under the name Oryza sativa Japonica Group (Japanese rice). Its description in RNAcentral is "sRNA Os02g0821100". Lineage: Eukaryota; Viridiplantae; Streptophyta; Magnoliopsida; Poales; Poaceae. The record is from RNAcentral.
GUAGAACGUGGGAUGUGUGGGAGGUGUAUCACGGGGAGGAGGAUCGGAUUGAGAUUUGCAGGGAAGGAUCAGUCCGUACCGGAUCGGCAGCAGAUCGCGCAUUCGCAGGAGCAGGCGCCACGUCGUAGGAGGGCUGAUCCCUUCCCGGCGAGCAACUCCAUGAGCGCCGCCUCCGCCUCCGCCGCCGCCGCUGCCCCCUAUAGAUCCGGUUGGUUCGCCUGAAACCGCAGCCAUGAGCUCGACGAGCAAAGUACGGAUAGCGUCCAGGAGGAGUAGAGGGAGGGCGGUUUGCCGAAGCGGUCGGGGUAGGAGACGCCGAACUCGAGGGCGAGCGCGGACCGCCGCGGCAGAAGGGGCGGCGCUGCACGCCGGCGACGGCGAGCGCCGACCGCCACAGGAGCGGGUGGCGAUCUCGUGAGGCCCAAGAACAGAAUUGGAUAUUACGUGUACGUGCGGCCCAAUUUUGUUGGGCCGGGACGAAAUUACGUGCUUCCAUGCUAGUUGGGCCGUCAGCCGAGACCUUUCUUGUGGCCCAAUAACGGAAUUGUGAGUUACAUGCAGCCGAUUUUACCUACCGACUGGAAAUUUCGACAUGCGUCAGGCCGAUUUAUGUUGAUGGAAAUUACGACAUACUCCUACACCGUUGACUUUUUAGCAUAUAUUUGACUGUUCGUCUUAUUC